GAUGAACGCUGGCGGCGUGCCUAAUACAUGCAAGUCGAGCGAACGGACGAGAAGCUUGCUUCUCUGAUGUUAGCGGCGGACGGGUGAGUAACACGUGGCUAACCUACCUAUAAGACUGGGAUAACUUCGGGAAACCGUAGCUAAUACCGGAUAAUAUUUUGAACCGCAUGGUUCAAAAGUGAAAGACGGUCUUGCUGCCACUUAUAGAUGGAUCCGCGCUGCAUUAGCUAGUUGGUAAGGUAACGGCUUACCAAGGCAACGAUGCAUAGCCGACCUGAGAGGGUGAUCGGCCACACUGGAACUGAGACGCGGUCCAGACGCCUACGGGAGGCAGCAGUAGGGAAUCUGCCGCAAUGGGCGAAAGCCUUACGGAGCAACGCCGCGUGAGUGAUGAAGGUCUUCGGAUCGUAAAACUCUGUUAUUAGGGAAGAACAUAUGUGUAAGUAGCUGUACACAUCUUGACGGUACCUAAUCAGAAAGCCACGGCUAACUACGUG
This 497-nucleotide ribosomal RNA is filed under the name uncultured bacterium. RNAcentral describes it as "partial 16S ribosomal RNA". It matches the Rfam family "Bacterial small subunit ribosomal RNA", at positions 28 to 507 of the family's 1533-position model. The record is from RNAcentral.